AUUGUACCAAAGUCUAGAACCCAAAAGUCCUUACAUAAAGUUUUAGAAACAUUAAAAGAGGAAUUUCUUCUAGAUCAUGGUUACAUAGCAAGUACCAGAACGUGGCUUACUGAUAGACUCCAUGAGAGAUGUUAGAUGUUAAAUUUCAGCAUGUAGUGCAAACAUUCCUUCUUCAAUUGAAGAGGAUGAAGGAACUUGCCAACAUUUUCAGAAUUUGAAGUUUCUUAAUAAGCUUCCUUGAGGGUUGUACUUUUAAUUCCGAUCCAGAGCUUUCUCCUUUCCAUGUAGCUUGAAGCAAGUCUCCUUAGUGUGGCUAGAUUUAUUACAAUGAGAGCACCCCCGAUUCUCCCUUCCUUUUAAACUCCGUUUUAUGUUUGCAAGAUUUGAAGUCCCAGGUUCGGAAGUCUUUCCGGAGAACAUGGCAACUCCUUCAAUGGAGGGUUCAUUCAUCAUGACCAUUCGACGAGUCUCCCAUCUUAGACAAUGUAAAAGACUUCAAAAAGAGAAAGAAGUGUUUCCUUCCCAAGAAUUUGUGCCCUAACAAGUCUCCUUAGUGUGGCUAGAUUUAUUACAAUGAGAGCACCCCCGAUUCUCCCUUCCUUUUAAACUCCGUUUUAUGUUUGCAAGAUUUGAAGUCCCAGGUUCGGAAGUCUUUCCGGAGAACAUGGCAACUCCUUCAAUGGAGGGUUCAUUCAUCAUGACCAUUCGACGAGUCUCCCAUCUUAGACAAUGUAAAAGACUUCAAAAAGAGAAAGAAGUGUUUCCUUCCCAAGAAUUUGUGCCCUAACAGGGUCAUAUUCAAGAUUCAAUCCUGAUAAGAACUUAUAUAUGAGAAUGUUCAACAAACUGAGCAAGAGUGACAACAUCUCUAUUAUUUUCAAGCCUCAAAUUUUGAUACAGGUUCAACUCAAUCCACAAACCCUUCAACAUUCCAUAAUAUUCUACAACAGAGAGUGUCCUACUUGACAAAAGAUCUUGCUUUCUAACUCAUAACCUGUAGAGAAGUCCUUUCACAUGGAAUAAGUAUUUGCAAGGUAUUCCCAAAUUUCACAGGCACUUAUCUAGAACAUAUGAUUUCUACUAAUUUCAAUAGUCAUGGAUCCCCAUAACCAUGUAAUAAUUGGAGUCAUCAUUGUCUCAAAUUUGGAAAUUAGGGUUAUCGUGAGAUAUAGCCUUUCCUUCAAUAUGGUUGAAGAAUCUACUUGUACCCUUUGACGUAUGUAUGUGGAGAUAAUUUCGACCAAUAAGGUGGUUGUCAUCGUGCAAGUGUGGAAGAUCAGGAUUGCUUAUUGGAGUUGUCAUGCUAAAAUAAAGAAUAGGGAUUCCUCAAUCUUCUCCUAAAUAAUAAAGAGAACAAUAUGAUAAAUAAAACAGAAUAGUGUGGUCUUGGAGGAUGACAAAUCUCGUGGUGAGAUCGUGGUGUGAUUUCCAGUGAUGGUGGUGACAACUCCGACGAUUGCGGCAACGGAGAUAGCAAGGAUAGUGCCAAGUUUGGUACACUUCAGGCAACCCCAAUUAAUCAAAGAAAAUGGAACACUUCAGGCAACCCAAAAAAGAACCGUAGCGAAGACGGUAAAGAAUAAAUGCGGAUGCAGGGCCCAAGAUCAAGAGCUCUAAUACCAACUUGAAAAGGAUUAAUC
RNAcentral lists this long non-coding RNA (1640 nucleotides) under Phaseolus vulgaris (common bean). RNAcentral describes it as "long non-coding RNA (PVUL_LNC002386)". Lineage: Eukaryota; Viridiplantae; Streptophyta; Magnoliopsida; Fabales; Fabaceae. The record is from RNAcentral.